GUCCGGAGAGCGGCUGCUGGUGGCGGCGACGGCGCUGGAAACUUACCAAGCGACGCCGCCGCUGCGAGGCUCCUGGGGAGCCGACUUGAGAGCUCCUGGCCAUGGAAACAGCUGCCUAACAGUGUCGUCCUACCUAGGUCUACUCAGAAGUGCUACCAGACUGUUACUGCUUUCAGGGAAACCAGCCUGGCAACUCCUGAAUGCAGAAUUCCACACCCACCCUUGACCCAAGUACAUACCGAGCAUACAUAACUGUCUGGUUUGUUGAGAAUGUACUCGAAUAUUUAUAUAGAUUCUUUGAUGUUCUUCUCUUUUGAAGGCCUUCAGAAUAUCUUCCUUUGUCCCCCACCUGCAACACCUCUCACCACCACCUUGAGAACAAACUGUCAUAUUCUGACUGUGAUGUGAUGCCAGUGACGCCGAGUAGGAACCAAAGUGUUCCAAAAAUGGUUGCAUGGAGGGAAAUUUAAUAAGGAGGAACACUAAGGAAGGAACAGAAAUCAACAGCAACACAGCCAUUUUAUCAGCGGCAUCUUUCUUCAUGUCAGGGUGCGGGACUCGUCCUUUGGGUAGUGAGUGGAGGUUCCCCAGGCAAACGAAGUCUAAGAAAUGUUCAACUAUCCAUACUUAUGUUGUGUUUGGAGCAUGACAAACCGGGAAAAUCAAGUGUCCAAUUAGAAAAGGUUUUGGACUUUAUGGGUCCAUCAUGUAUAAUCGCUUUGCUUAGCUCCUGGAAGCAACUCCAAGAGAA
Molecule: non-coding RNA, 751 nt
Organism: Podarcis muralis (Common wall lizard)
Lineage: Eukaryota; Metazoa; Chordata; Lepidosauria; Squamata; Lacertidae
Source: RefSeq, a predicted model, not a curated record